CUGGCUCAGGAUGAACGCUGGCGGCGUGCCUAACACAUGCAAGUCGAGCGAUUACUUCGGUAAAGAGCGGCGGACGGGUGAGUAACGCGUGGGUAACCUGCCUCAUACACAUGGAUAACAUACCGAAAGGUAUGCUAAUACAGGAUAAUAUAAGAGAUUCACAUGGAUUUCUUAUCAAAGCUCCGGCAGUAUGAGAUGGACCCGCGUCUGAUUAGCUAGUUGGUAAGGUAAUGGCUUACCAAGGCGACGAUCAGUAGCCGACCUGAGAGGGUGAUCGGCCACAUUGGAACUGAGACACGGUCCAAACUCCUACGGGAGGCAGCAGUGGGGAAUAUUGCACAAUGGGCGAAAGCCUGAUGCAAGCAACGCCGCGUGAGUGAUGAAGGCCUUCGGGUCGUAAAACUCUGUCCUCAAGGAAGAUAAUGACGGUACUUGAGGAGGAAGCCCCGGCUAACUACGUGCCAGCAGCAGC
Molecule: ribosomal RNA, 472 nt
Filed under: uncultured bacterium
Lineage: Bacteria
Description: bacterial SSU rRNA
Rfam family: Bacterial small subunit ribosomal RNA
Source: RNAcentral